Molecule: ribosomal RNA, 251 nt
Filed under: uncultured prokaryote
Description: partial 16S rRNA
Rfam family: Bacterial small subunit ribosomal RNA
Source: RNAcentral
ACGUAAGGGGCGAGCGUUGCUCGGAAUUACUGGGCGUAAAGGGCGUGUAGGCGGUAUAGCAAGUCCAAUGUAAAAAACCGUGGCUUAACUGCGGGGAUGCGUUGGAAACUGCUAUGCUUGAAUCUGGUGGAGGGUGAUGGAAUUCCCGGUGUAGCGGUGAAAUGCGUAGAUAUCGGGAAGAACACCGAAGGCUAAAGCAGUCAUCCAUGCCAAGAUUGACGCUGAGGCGCGAAAGCAUGGGUAUCAAACAG